Molecule: long non-coding RNA, 319 nt
Filed under: Elaeis guineensis (African oil palm)
Lineage: Eukaryota; Viridiplantae; Streptophyta; Magnoliopsida; Arecales; Arecaceae
Description: long non-coding RNA (EGUI_LNC008863)
Source: RNAcentral
UUAUAUGAUUAUUAUAAUUAUUUUUGGUAUGAUAAUAUAAAUGAUAUUGUAACUUAAAAAGUAUGUUAAAUUGUAUAAUUUGUAUGUUACAUUUUAUGUAGAAGUUAGGAUAUGCCGAGACCAGUUCAAGAUCCUCUAUAAAAAUUAUAUUAAGUUGUAAUAUCGGGAUUCACUUAUAAAUCCAAUGUCAAAUUUAUUUGAUCAAUUGGUAUCUAAAUAAGUGUUAAAGAUGAUUUUCUAAUUAGGUCCGUAUGCUGGCCUGACCAACUUUGUUGGUGUCUAAGAAAAACUAUGGGAGCCUCCCACCUACUGACCUGAC